RNAcentral lists this ribosomal RNA (495 nucleotides) under uncultured bacterium. RNAcentral describes it as "partial 16S ribosomal RNA". It matches the Rfam family "Bacterial small subunit ribosomal RNA", at positions 28 to 507 of the family's 1533-position model. The record is from RNAcentral.
GACGAACGCUGGCGGCGUGCCUAAUACAUGCAAGUAGAACGCUGAAGGAGGAGCUUGCUCUUCUGGAUGAGUUGCGAACGGGUGAGUAACGCGUAGGUAACCUGCCUGGUAGCGGGGGAUAACUAUUGGAAACGAUAGCUAAUACCGCAUAACAGUAGAUGUUGCAUGACAUUUGCUUAAAAGGUGCAAUUGCACCACUACCAGAUGGACCUGCGUUGUAUUAGCUAGUUGGUGGGGUAACGGCUCACCAAGGCGACGAUACAUAGCCGACCUGAGAGGGUGAUCGGCCACACCGGGACUGAGACACGGCCCAGACGCCUACGGGAGGCAGCAGUAGGGAAUCUUCGGCAAUGGACGGAAGUCUGACCGAGCAACGCCGCGUGAGUGAAGAAGGUUUUCGGAUCGUAAAGCUCUGUUGUAAGAGAAGAACGAGUGUGAGAGUGGAAAGUUCACACUGUGACGGUAUCUUACCAGAAAGGGACGGCUAACUACGUG